CAGUCGCCACGGGAAUACGUAGGUGGCAAGCGUUGUCCGGAAUUAUUGGGCGUAAAGGGCUCGCAGGCGGUUUCUUAAGUCUGAUGUGAAAGCCCCCGGCUCAACCGGGGAGGGUCAUUGGAAACUGGGAAACUUGAGUGCAGAAGAGGAGAGUGGAAUUCCACGUGUAGCGGUGAAAUGCGUAGAGAUGUGGAGGAACACCAGUGGCGAAGGCGACUCUCUGGUCUGUAACUGACGCUGAGGAGCGAAAGCGUGGGGAGCGAACAGGAUUAGAUACCCCCGUAGUCCCUGUCUCUUAUAU
Molecule: ribosomal RNA, 301 nt
Filed under: uncultured bacterium
Lineage: Bacteria
Description: partial 16S ribosomal RNA
Rfam family: Bacterial small subunit ribosomal RNA
Source: RNAcentral